AUUCAAGUAGUUUAACUUAAAACUUUGGUCUUGUAAACCAAAAAUGAAGCAUCAAACCUUCCUCGAAUA
RNAcentral lists this transfer RNA (69 nucleotides) under Chelodina steindachneri (Steindachners long-necked turtle). RNAcentral describes it as "tRNA-Thr". It matches the Rfam family "tRNA". From Rfam's summary of the family: Transfer RNA (tRNA) molecules are approximately 80 nucleotides in length. The record is from RNAcentral. Lineage: Eukaryota; Metazoa; Chordata; Testudines; Chelidae.